CUGCCUGCCCAAAACCCCAUAACCAAUUUCCAAAAUUCUUUUUCUAGAUUAGAUUUGCCAAAUGGGAAAAUCAGCGAAUCAUCAAAUCACAACAAUUUACUUCCCAUUUAAUAUCACUCAACACCACCUUCCCUUCUUAAUCAUUUUGAUUUUCAUUCUCAUCUCUAGAGAGAGAAACUCACACAGAUUUUGAGAGAGAGAGAGAAACACCAACAUAGGGAUCUCUCUCCUUUUCUCGUACCUGUUCAUCUUAAAAACUAGAUUAUGUUCUUCCUUUUAUCGCUAACACAGUUGUUUGAUUAAUUGAUUAUGUUUGAAUUUUGGAUAAUUUGACGAAAUCGAGUUCGUUGAGCUGAAGAUUUUCACGAUUUGGUCGAGGACGAGAAGAACAAACCCUACCUUGUAAGGUUAGCUUGCUAACUGCAAAAGUCUGAGGUCACAUGUUUUUCUUAAUUAUUGAUUUCUCAUUUUUUUGGAGUUGACAUGUUCAAGUAAGUUCUGUCCUCCUUGAUCUUUUACAUAAAAGUUGUUAGUUUUAAACAUUAUGUUAUAAUGGUUAAUAUAUUUCUUAUAUGAAACCAUUUGGUAGACAACCUUUUUGUGUCAUGCUCUGCAGUGAUAGGUAACAUCCAUUAUCAGGAAAUAUCUCACCCCUCUCUGCAGCAGUAGCUUCUGUUUGUAUGUCAGUUGCUGCAUUCUUGACGACUGCAUUUUGUGCGAUUCUUUUGGGGUACAAGCUGAGCAAAAGAAUUAUGUGCUAUGGAAAGCAAAGAAACUAAAAAAGUUGGGACGUGGGAGAAGGCCUUCAUUCAGUUGGUAGAGUGAAGUUGCACUUGCUGCUGAUUGAACAAGGAGGGCUUAGAGCACUCUUGGGCAUGGAAGAGAGUUGAAGCAGACGUAGUGUCGGAAUCAGUUUGGUCUCACAUGAAAUCAAACUCCCUUAGACGGUGGUUAUUUUGGUCAAUUUAUCAUUGCCUAAAAGACUGAAUUGUGAUUUUUGUACAUUUCCGGCGUAAUUACCUCCUAAAUUUUGCCGUAAUAUUUGCAAUAACAGUGAAGUUGCACUUGCUGCUGAUUGAACAAGGAGGGCUUAGAGCACUCUUGGGCAUGGUUAGAUCUGGAUAUAACGAUGUCAUCGCUCAGGUUUCCAAGGGAAUUGCAAAUUUCGCAAAAUGCGAAUCUUGAGCAAUAUCUCAAGGACACAAGAAAGGUCGUUCUCUUCGAAUGGAUGGCGUCCCUUCGUGGUUUCUUGCAAAGUCGAUUACUGCCUCAAUAUCAACCAGACGUCACAGCUUGCUCUUUGUCAUUAAGCACACAAUGGUACACAUAUUUCCUUUUAUAUAUUUUGUUCUUUUAUUACAUGAUCUUUCCUUUGAUGUUUCAGUAGAAUACUAUAUGAUGUACACUUGUGUUGGUCUUCGAGACCCCACUAAUAACAACGAGCUUGUGUUAUCACUCGGUAGCAGUUUACUUAGUACAUGGUUGAUUCAAGGUACUACAUCAUUAUUUAAUACUACUGCAUUAUAUAUAAGCCAGCAAACCUAAAUAUAUGAGAGGUAAACAUCCUUUAAUUUUCAUUUAAGCCGCCUUAUGUUAGUGCUUCUCAUUUGCAGCUCAAAAAUCUCAAUCUGAACAGGUUGAGAUUUUUUAGCCGGAAAUGAGAAGCACUAACAUAAGGCCGCUUAAAUGCAAAUUAAAAGAUGUUUACUUUCCGUAUAUUCAGGUUUGCUGCCUUAUAAAUAAUACAUGGAUUUUAAAUAAUGAUGUAGUACCUUGAUUAAACUCACACCAUAUAAAGUGGAAGGAAUCGUCCUGCAGCAACCAAUUCUUUCGUGGAAUUGAACAAAUCAUUAUCACAAAUACGAGGAGCUAUGCAGAUAUCUCAUAAGUUACUCGGUUUACCAUUCCAUUUCUAUACUUCUAAAUCUAGCUUAGAUAUGUUCGCUUCUAACUACCUGUUUUGCGUUUUGAAGUGAAAGUUCAUUUCUUUUUGUAUGUUGUAGUUUGUAUAACGCGGUAUUUGGAUGUUGUUGUUGCCGUUGCCUCUGCUGUCGCUGCCGCCGCCGCUGCUACUACAUGUUUGCUUUUUUACUUUCGCUAGUUAAACUUUAAUGAACAUAGAUGUAUGAAUAUUAAAAAUGUUUUCUGAUAGGAAUACAUAUGCCAUUGUCUGUAUAUAGUUACAAGUAAUCGUUGUCUUCUUUGCGUGCUAUUGAGAGUGAUUAUUCUUUGGUAUGCAUCUUUUUUUCAAUGGGUCAAGAAA
Helianthus annuus (common sunflower) is the source of this 2263-nucleotide long non-coding RNA. RefSeq lists it as uncharacterized. The record is from RefSeq and is a predicted model, not a curated record. Lineage: Eukaryota; Viridiplantae; Streptophyta; Magnoliopsida; Asterales; Asteraceae. The transcript is spliced from 7 exons.